UACCACGGGACACGUGAAACCCUGUGAAGCAGGAGGGACCACCCUCCAAGGCUAAAUACUACCUAGUGACCGAUAGCGUAUAGUACCGUGAGGGAAAGGUGAAAAGAACCCCGGGAGGGGAGUGACAUAGAACCUGAAACCCUGCACUUACAAGCUGUGGAAGCACAUUUCUUGUGUGACCGCGUACUUUUUGUAGAACGGGCCAACGAGUUACGUUAAGUAGCAAGGUUAAGCACUUAAGGUG
This 244-nucleotide ribosomal RNA is filed under the name Clostridioides difficile. RNAcentral's name for it is "partial 23S ribosomal RNA". It matches the Rfam family "Bacterial large subunit ribosomal RNA", at positions 413 to 660 of the family's 2925-position model. The record is from RNAcentral. Lineage: Bacteria; Bacillati; Bacillota; Clostridia; Peptostreptococcales; Peptostreptococcaceae.